RNAcentral lists this ribosomal RNA (301 nucleotides) under uncultured bacterium. RNAcentral's name for it is "partial 16S ribosomal RNA". It matches the Rfam family "Bacterial small subunit ribosomal RNA", at positions 509 to 807 of the family's 1533-position model. The record is from RNAcentral.
CAGUAGCCGCGGUAAAACGGAGGGUGCAAGCGUUAAUCGGAAUUACUGGGCGUAAAGCGCACGCAGGCGGUCUGACAAGUCAGAUGUGAAAUCCCCGGGCUUAACCUGGGAACUGCAUUUGAAACUGUCAGGCUGGAGUCUUGUAGAGGGGGGUAGAAUUCCAGGUGUAGCGGUGAAAUGCGUAGAGAUCUGGAGGAAUACCGGUGGCGAAGGCGGCCCCCUGGACAAAGACUGACGCUCAGGUGCGAAAGCGUGGGGAGCAAACAGGAUUAGAGACCCCAGUAGUCCAUGUCUCUUAUAC